This 205-nucleotide ribosomal RNA is filed under the name uncultured bacterium. RNAcentral's name for it is "partial 16S ribosomal RNA". It matches the Rfam family "Bacterial small subunit ribosomal RNA", at positions 328 to 544 of the family's 1533-position model. The record is from RNAcentral.
ACGCUCGACACCUACUGGAGGCAGCAGUGGGGAAUAUUGCACAAUGGGGGAAACCCUGAUGCAGCGACGCCGCGUGGAGGAAGAAGGUCUUCGGAUUGUAAACUCCUGUUGUUGGGGAAAAAGNGGAUGGUACCCAACAAGGAAGUGACGGCUAACUACGUGCCCGNAGCCGGCCGGUAAGUACUGAGCGGGCGUGGCGAAGGCG